UGAUACAGAACAAAUUGAGCACGACAGA
Molecule: non-coding RNA, 28 nt
Filed under: Bombyx mori (domestic silkworm)
Lineage: Eukaryota; Metazoa; Arthropoda; Insecta; Lepidoptera; Bombycidae
Source: RNAcentral